Molecule: ribosomal RNA, 428 nt
Filed under: uncultured bacterium
Lineage: Bacteria
Description: partial 16S ribosomal RNA
Rfam family: Bacterial small subunit ribosomal RNA
Source: RNAcentral
GUGGGGAAUAUUGGGCAAUGGGGGAAACCCUGACCCAGCAACGCCGCGUGAGGGAAGAAGGUUUUCGGAUUGUAAACCUCUGUCCUUGGUGACGAAGGAAGUGACGGUAACCAAGGAGGAAGCCCCGGCUAACUACGUGCCAGCAGCCGCGGUAAUACGUAGGGGGCAAGCGUUGUCCGGAAUGACUGGGCGUAAAGGGCGUGUAGGCGGCCGAUUAAGUCUGGAGUGAAAGUCCUGUUUUCAAGGUGGGAAUUGCUUUGGAGACUGGAUGGCUUGAGUGCGGAAGAGGUAAGUGGAAUUCCCAGUGUAGCGGUGAAAUGCGUAGAGAUUGGGAGGAACACCAGUGGCGAAGGCGACUUACUGGGCCGUAACUGACGUUGAAGCGCGAAAGCGUGGGGAGCGAACAGGAUUAGAUACCCCAGUAGUCC